Molecule: ribosomal RNA, 427 nt
Filed under: uncultured bacterium
Lineage: Bacteria
Description: partial 16S ribosomal RNA
Rfam family: Bacterial small subunit ribosomal RNA
Source: RNAcentral
GUGGGGAAUAUUGGGCAAUGGGGGAAACCCUGACCCAGCGACGCCGCGUGAGGGAAGAAGGCCUUAGGGUCGUAAACCUCUGUUGUGUGGGAAGAAGAGCGUGACGGUACCACACGAGGAAGUCCCGGCUAACUACGUGCCAGCAGCCGCGGUAAUACGUAGGGGACGAGCGUUGUCCGGAUUUACUGGGCGUAAAGGGCGCGUAGGCGGUCAUUUAAGUCAGCUGUGAAAUGGUGUGGCUUAACCGGAUCAUGCGGUUGAAACUGGAUGAGUGGAGUGCUGGAGAGUCAAGUUGAAUUCCCAGUGUAGCGGUGAAAUGCGUAGAUAUUGGGAAGAACACCGGUGGCGAAGGCGACUUGCUGGCCAGCAAGUGACGCUGAGGCGCGAAAGCCAGGGGAGCAAACGGGAUUAGAUACCCUUGUAGUCC